RNAcentral lists this ribosomal RNA (253 nucleotides) under uncultured bacterium. RNAcentral describes it as "partial 16S ribosomal RNA". It matches the Rfam family "Bacterial small subunit ribosomal RNA", at positions 524 to 776 of the family's 1533-position model. The record is from RNAcentral.
UACGGGGGGUGCAAGCGUUGUUCGGAAUUAUUGGGCGUAAAGAGCGUGUAGGCGGUUUGUUAAGUCUGAUGUGAAAGCCCUGGGCUCAACCCAGGAAGUGCAUUGGAAACUGGCAGACUUGAAUACGGGAGAGGGCAGUGGAAUUCCUAGUGUAGGAGUGAAAUCCGUAGAUAUUAGGAGGAACACCGGUGGCGAAGGCGGCUACCUGGACCGAUAUUGACGCUGAGACGCGAAAGCGUGGGGAGCAAACAGG